UGGGGAAUAUUGGACAAUGGGGGCAACCCUGAUCCAGCCAUGCCGCGUGAGUGAUGAAGGCCCUAGGGUUGUAAAGCUCUUUUGUGCGGGAAGAUAAUGACGGUACCGCAAGAAUAAGCCCCGGCUAACUUCGUGCCAGCAGCCGCGGUAAUAUGAAGGGGGCUAGCGUUGCUCGGAAUCACUGGGCGUAAAGGGUGCGUAGGCGGGUCUUUAAGUCAGGGGUGAAAUCCUGGGGCUCAACUCCAGAACUGCCUUUGAUACUGAAGAUCUUGAGUAUGGGAGAGGUGAGUGGAACUGCGAGUGUAGAGGUAAAAUUCAUAGAUAUUCGCAAGAACACCAGUGGCGAAGGCGGCUCACUGGCCCAUACCUGACGCUGAGACACGAAAGCGUGGAGAGCAAACAGG
RNAcentral lists this ribosomal RNA (404 nucleotides) under Actinomycetes bacterium. RNAcentral's name for it is "Actinobacteria bacterium partial 16S ribosomal RNA". It matches the Rfam family "Bacterial small subunit ribosomal RNA", at positions 355 to 776 of the family's 1533-position model. Lineage: Bacteria; Bacillati; Actinomycetota; Actinomycetes. The record is from RNAcentral.